UCAAACUUGGUCAUUUAGAGGAAGUAAAAGUCGUAACAAGGUCUCCGUAGGUGAACCUGCGGAGGGAUCAUCAAAGAAUUUCCAAAAACCACAAAGUGCUCUUCUCUCUCUCUCUUUUACGAGUUGAGAGGGAGGGAGUGAGUGCUUUCAAACAAACGAUCACAACUACUAGACAAUAAUAUAUGUGUGAGGGAAAUUGGAUUGGGUUGGAUUGAGUUUUGUGGGAAACCAACAAACCAAAAAGUGUUUGCCUGAUAAUUUGGAUUGAUUGGAAAAAGAGAAAAAUAAUACAACUUUCAACAACGGAUCUCUUGGCUCUCACAUCGAUGAAGAACGCAGC
RNAcentral lists this unclassified non-coding RNA (340 nucleotides) under uncultured fungus. RNAcentral's name for it is "partial contains small subunit ribosomal RNA, internal transcribed spacer 1, and 5.8S ribosomal RNA". The stretch from base 1 to 73 matches the Rfam family "Eukaryotic small subunit ribosomal RNA", at positions 1759 to 1831 of the family's 1831-position model. Lineage: Eukaryota; Fungi. The record is from RNAcentral.